UCCCAGCCAAAACCGUUCCCUCCAUCUUCACGGCUUCCUCUGUUCUGGAAUCACUGCCAGCCAAUCCCGUUCACGAACAGAUCUCAGCUCAUCAUCCUGCAUCCAGCUCUCACCCACGGAUCCAAGAUCUCCUUCCCAGAUUUCUUUCAAGCAACCAGUCCUUCUCCGCGAUUCGAUGUCAUCCUUCCGAGCUUCAUGGCAACCAAAUGCAUUAUCCUCUGUUUCGGAAACAGAACAAAGUCAUUCCUUUUCCCGUAUCUUCCCAAGCUUCUUCUCAUUCCGGAUUGAUCCUAUCAUCCACAGGAUAAGGUUUAGAUGUUCAUUCCGAAGCUAGAUCCCAUGAUCUUUGGAUCAAAUCAUCUCCCCUGCUUCCAAAUCUCCUAGAUUUCUUCUCAGCCACUUCCAGCCAACGGCGAUUAUCCCCAAACUUCCGGAUUGAAUCCCACAUCCCCUCCUCAUCUGCAGAUGAGCUCACAACCUUCAACUAUUUCGGAACAGAGAUUCAACCAGCAAUCUCAACCGUGAGGAUCUCCCGUAUCCAUGACAACAGCAGUCCGUUCUUCUUCUCGCUCGCGGAUCAACUCCAACCUCCAAAAAUUCCAGCUUAUCAUCCCAACUCCCGGAUCAGCUCUAUCUUCAUCCCGCAUCCUUUGUCUUCAUCUGUAUCUACAUUCGAAACAGAGGAGGAUGGAGGGGGAGCUUGCGGCCUAUAAAAGGAGAAGGCUUUCCUUCUUCGGAAAUCAAUUCCCUCUUCCCCCACCGGGAGGGGAGGCUUCUCCCAUCUAGCUCGGGUUCACAGGCCAAGUUCCCACAUUAAUCCAAGGAUCUGAGGAGUUCCUGCAGAGGCCAGAGAAGAGAGAACCAAACAUAAGCAAGAGGAAGGAAGUCCUAAUGGGAGGCCGCUGCUAUGCUGCUGCUCCCGACCACUACUCCAUGGAAGGCUGAUCUCCUCACUAGGGCUGGAUGCAGCCCUAACAAAGGACUAAGGGUUUUAUAUUUUAUUUUAUAUUCUUGGGGUUGUAUGAACUUAUUGUUUUCAAUGGAUAUCUUCUUUUGAAUCAUAUUUAAUUUCUAUGAUUUUAAGUAUGAUGUUCGUUCAACUGUUCUUCAUGAUCACUAAGUAAAUAUAAGAUAGUCCAUACUUAGGAAAGAUGCGAUGUACUGCCAUCUUAGAUUAGGGUAGACAUUUCAUGCCAACUGAAGAUGGAUUAUGCCCAAAUUACUUUUGUGAAUUUUUAUUUAAAUGCUUAUUAGGCUUGUAGCCAAUUUGCAUGUUAAUCCAAGAACGAAAUAAAAUAUAAAUAACCCUUGUUCCGAUGUUAGUGGUGAAUUCCUUGCCCUAGGAUCUCCCAAACUGAUAUCAUUAUCAAUUGCAUUUUUAUUAAAUUUGUUAGUUUAAC
RNAcentral lists this long non-coding RNA (1400 nucleotides) under Phoenix dactylifera (date palm). Its description in RNAcentral is "long non-coding RNA (PDAC_LNC010080)". Lineage: Eukaryota; Viridiplantae; Streptophyta; Magnoliopsida; Arecales; Arecaceae. The record is from RNAcentral.